AUAGACAGUCAGCUUCUGUAUUGGAAACCACACCCACAUCUCUGCAGUAUCUGCAGCAAGAAUAAGGGCAUCCUCUGAGACCCAUAGGGCAACAUAGAAACUUGACAGCAGCUGCCUGCAGAAUGCACAUAAGAUUUCACUCUCUUACCCAGGCUGGAGUGCAGCAGUGUGAUCUCGGUUCACUGCAACCUGAGCUUCCUGAAUUCAAGUGAUUCUCAGCCUCCUGAGUAGCUGGGAUUACAGGAACCAAUGAAGCUUCAUCCACACAAAUCAGAAACAUAGAAGACAACAUCAGCUCUGCCCUCCACCUCAACCCUGUUCCCUCCACCCAAUCAGAAAAUAACUUAUUGAAGCCCUCCCUUAAUCUGUUUCUACCACCCCUGUCUCUCUGAGGUUUCAUAUUUUCUAACUUGGAGAGUACAGUAGUGUUCUCUCAUCUAACCUUCAAAAUCAUGACUUCUUUCCCUCUAAAACAAAUUUUACCUUGUUACUUUCAUUUAAGUUAAUUUACCAAGUCAGUUGUCUUUAAGAUAUUCACAGCAUGCCAGGCACAGUGACUCAUGCCUGUAAUCCCAACACUUUGGGAGGCUGAGGUGGGCAGAUUACGAGUCUAGGAGUUUGAGACCAGCCUGGCCAACAUGGUGAAACUCUAUCUCUUCAGAAAAUAAAAAAAAUUAGCUGGGCAUGGUGGUACAUAUCUGUAGUCCCAGCUACAUGGGAGGCUGAGGCAAGAAAACUACUUGAACUGGGAGGUGGAGGUCACAGUCAGCUGAGAUUGUGCCACUGCUCUUCAGCCCGGGCAACGUAGCAAGACCUUGUCUGAAACAAGAACAACAACAGAUAACCAGAGCAUAGAAUACCCUAGGUAGCCUACUUUGAUCUACUCUCAUACCAUGCUUUCCUAUGUACCUUAUGAUAUAAUUACAGCAGACCACUGUACCUUUGUUAAGACCUUGAUUAAAAGUUGCCUCUCUGAUGCCUUCUCCAUUCUAACGAGCAUUACACACUUCCUCUUCCUUCCCCUGGGCCAUUUCACCCACUGCCUUCCUCUUUGGUGCCAUGUAUCACAUUAAUUUAUUUUUCUAUUUUUUCCCAAAGCCCAAUGAAGUUAAACAGUGAUUUCAGUUUUCAUAUAUAUGUGGUAAUGUAUUUUAUGUUUCAUCUUUUAAUUUUUAAUUUUUGUGGGUACACAGUAGGUAUGUAUACUCAGAGGAUACAUGAGACAUUUUGAUACAGACAUCACAUAAUUUAUGACCAUCCAUUUAGAAGCCUGUUUUGCUAGCUUACGAGGCUUGGUUACCUCAGGGCAGGGCUUGUACACCUGCAUAUCUUCAUGUCCACAGAAUAAUCCUCCAACACAGCCAGUAUGAGAUGAGUAUAUGUUGAAUG
Molecule: non-coding RNA, 1389 nt
Organism: Callithrix jacchus (white-tufted-ear marmoset)
Lineage: Eukaryota; Metazoa; Chordata; Mammalia; Primates; Cebidae
Source: RefSeq, a predicted model, not a curated record